This is a long non-coding RNA of Gallus gallus (chicken), 5753 nucleotides long. Lineage: Eukaryota; Metazoa; Chordata; Aves; Galliformes; Phasianidae. The record is from Ensembl.
GGAGAGGAGAGGAGAGGAGAGGAGAGGAGAGGAGAGGAGAGGAGAGGAGAGGAGAGGAGAGGAGAGGAGAGGAGAGGAGAGAAGAGAAGAGAAGAGAAGAGAAGAGAAGAGAAGAGAAGAGAAGAGAAGAGAAGAGAAGAGAAGAGAAGAGAAGAGAAGAGAAGAGAAGAGAAGAGAAGAGAAGAGAAGAGAAGAGAAGAGAAGAGAAGAGAAGAGAAGAGAAGAGAAGAGAAGAGAAGAGAAGAGAAGAGAAGAGAAGAGAAGAGAAGAGAAGAGAAGAGAAGAGAAGAGAAGAACAAAGAAAAAGAACAGAGAUCUUUUUUUCAUCAGUAACAGUAUUUCAUUUUGGUUCUUUGUAGAUCCGUAUAGAUCCAACAUCACCUAAAUGUCAGUGAGCAGUGUAGGGGACACUGUUGGAAAAAUGUCAAACUUUUCAUCCCCUGUUCUGCAAAACUAUACUGGCUCUAUUUCUUGCAGCCUACUCCAAUGCCUUCUCCAUGAAGAAAUUCUUCCUGAUAUGCAGUCUAAAACUUUUCUGGCACAACACAAGACUCUUUCCUUUCCAAGCAUCUCUAAUGAGAUCAGAAAGAAUAUGAAAUAAAAAUAGGAGAACUGCUCCUGUUCCGUAGAAGUGCAAUAACAUCAGUAUUACUUGCCAGCUGAGAAAAGAGAUCAACACCCUCCUCACUGCAGUGUCUUUUCAGGUAGCUGUAGGGAGCAAUGCAGUCACUCCUCAGCAGGAUUUUCAAAUUUAAACUUUCUUUUUUUUUUUUCAGUACUGAAUGAAAUCUCACUGGGUGCAGUUAAUGAGAGUGCAUACACUCAUGGAGCUACAAACUAAUUUAGAGAUAAUUCACUACAAUGUACAACAUCAGGGUCUAAAAUCAUCUUCCAGAAACUGACGCUGACCUCUUGGGGAGGGGGGGUGAUCUCUGUGGGAGAGAGUCUUAUCAAAGACAAAGAUCUCCCUGAGUACAGGACGGAUAUAGAGCUCUUGGAGCGGGUCCAGAGGAGGGCCACUAAGAUAUCAAAGGGCUGGAGCACCUCUCCUAUGAGGAAAGGUUGAGGGAACUGGGAUUGUUUAGCUUGGAGAAGAGAAGGCUCUGGGGAGACCUCAUUGUGGCCUUCCAGUACUUGAAGAGAGCAUGUAAACAGGAAGGGGAGUGGCUGUUUAUGAGGGUGGAUAGUGAUAGGACAAGGGGGGAUGGUCUUAAACUGAGAGAGGGGAGGUUUAGGUUAGAUACUAGGAGGAAGUUUUUCACACAGAGGGUGGUGACACACUGGAACAGGUUGCCCAAGGAGGCUAUGGAUGUCCCAUCCCUGGAGGCAUUCAAGGCCAGGCUGGAUGUGGCUCUGGGCAGCCUGGUCUGGUGGUUGGCGACCCUGCACAUAGCAGGGGGUUGAAACUACAUGAUCAUUGUGGUCCUUUUCAACCCAGGCCAUUCCAUGAUUCUAUGAUUCUAUGAUCUCUGUAAACAGUGAGACAAAACAGGAUUCUUCUGAACAAGAGAAUACAGACUGGUGACUGUUAUUUUACUCUGUUGUGUUAUACAAUCAUAGAAUGGUUUGGGUUGGAAGGGACUUUUAAGAUCAUGUAGGUCCAACCCUCUGCUAUAGGCAGGGACACCUCCCUCUAGACCAGGCUGCUCAAAGCCCCGUCCAGCCUGGCCUUGACUGCCUCAAGGGAGAGGGCAACCACAACCUCCCUGGGCAACCUGUUCCAGUGUCUCACCACCCUCACAGGAGAGAAUUUCUUUCUAAUACAUCUAAAGCUUCCGUCUUCCAGUUUAAAUGACCAAGUUCUCAGUUGUUAUGAGGGGUUUUACUGUGAAUGAAUCCAAAACUUUACAGGUGAUUUUCGCUUUAAUAAAAGCCUAAAUUCUGGAGAGCAGAUGAUAGUCCAUUCAAGAUGUCCUGAGUGACUGAUGAUGAUUUAAUCACUGUAUUGAUAGAUAGUAAAGCUAACAAAUUCACUGUGCUGUACUGAACUACUUAUCCCAAUAUGCCCGAGGUUCCUGCUUUAAAGAGGGCUUCAGAAGCAUAGAUGAUUAAAUUUAGUAUAUUAGUAUAUUAACAUGUAUUUUGGGGGAAGGACAUAGAAGUCCUAGAACACCCUACUGUUGUCUCUCAUCUCCUUUCCAGAGAAAGUAAUAAUACAGCUCUUCAAAGUACUGACAAAUUCACCAGUAUGAUUUGACUGCUGUUAAGGCCCUACCCCUCUAAAACAUCCUCUGUUGGUUCCCAGGAGCAUCGGAAAAGAAAUGACUUCCUAGAGGAGCAAGUCCUUAAGUAUGUUAACAUAGUAGAUGAACAUGCAACUGCAGCAGAGAAAAACCUUAAUAGGCUUUGGUGAGGAGCUGUAGAGGAGGGCUGCAGGUGGAAUGACGUCUGUUCUAUGUUUUGUGUAGUCGACUGCUAUUCUGUAUAACAAUGUAGUUUUAUGUAGGAAAUAAAAUAUUUGUACAAAGUACAUACAUUGAAACAUUGUUAAGAAUGCAGAAACUCAGAAGUUAAAGGCUUCCUGAGCAUUACAACUGAGUUAAAGCUGAAAUGUCUGGUCACUUUUUCUCCCCUCCAUCCUUCAAUUGCGUUGGGUGAACCCGUUCACAACUGUGCAGAUCUUUCACAUUUCUUUUGCAAGAGACCUGUUGUGAGUGGGCCAGGAAUGGAUGCCUAAUUACAAUAGGCGAAUAUAAAUUAGCCUAUCAUGCACAACUUACACAAUGUUGGCCAAAUCACUUCACACAAACUUUCCAUGGGUAAGUCAUCACCAUUCUGUACUUUAUUUUUGUUGUCUGACUUGGCACACUGCUCAGAAGUUCUGAGCAUUCACAAAUGUAGAUGAAGCGUCUAAGAGCAAAAUGCUGAGCCUUCAGAGUAUUGCUGCUUAGCUCCUGUACUGUGAAAAAUUAGUCCUAAAGUAGAACGCAUAAAGCUUGCAGAGUUUUAUCUCUGCCUUUGUGCUUGAUAACACAACUUCACAAAGACGCUCCAAGAUAUAUCCAAGCUUGCAGAACAGACUGUACAGCGAUGAACACUGAAAGCCUUUGAGGAUGUUAAUUCUCUUUUCUUUAGAGCAAGAUUUGAGGAGUGUGCAGUGAAUAUUAUUCUUGGCUAACAGAGAUGCUUAAGCGUUUAAGUUGAUUGCUCUUGGUCCUGUCUCAAAACAGAUAAUUACGUUAUUGCCUCACAUGAUAAGCUCUUACUCUUCUCCCUUUCCAGUAAAUAAAAAUGUAAAGAUUUGAGGAAAAAUCACUCCACAAUACUUCAGCUUUUCUAAGAGAACAAAAGGGUGAGCAGUACCCUAUUUUCCUAGGGUAGGAGAGGAAGAAUAGCAACAGCUCGAGGCUUACAGGAUCUUCAGUCUCAUUCAAAAGAACCAAUAAGUACUUUCAUUUGAAAAUAGGUCUUACCCCUAUCUUGAAAAGAAGAGUUAACUAUAGACUUCAGAGAGCAUGCUGAGAUUUAAGAUAUAGAAGAUGGUGAAGGCAACUUGCAGAAAAAUCAGAAACCAGAGGAAAUAUGCUUUAUAAUUAUUUGACUUUUAGUCAGAUUACUUCAUAUUCAAUGAAAGGUGUGACUUUGCUUUAAGUGUUGCUACAUGCAUCUUCAAGCUAGUACAAAUACAAGUACAGUUAUCUAGAUUAUUCUAAGAGUCCAUGGGUUUACACAGGUAGUGAUUUGGCAAGGCCCUUAAGUAUAUGCUUAAUUAUAAUUGCAGCCUGUAAUUUUUAGUUACCCUGACACCUAGUGGAAUUUAUUGCUCCAAGCAGAAUAUAUAGGUUAAUCUUCUUGUAGAGCAAUUGGGGAAUAUUAAGAAAGUUAUGUAACCCAUCCUUGGACAAAAAUAAGAAGAUAGUUACCUGGAAGAAAAACCAUCUAAGCAUUGAAUUAGAUAAAAUGUGAAAAGGAAUUUGUCCCAAGCUCUGCCCUGCUAGAGACAUGCUAAUAAAGCCAGAUGAAAAGUUGUAAGGUCCCUGACCCAAUGUCUGAUUUUUGAAUGUGUACACAUCUCCUGGUUUCUUUUCCUUUUUUUAUUCAUUUUUCUCUUUUAUUCUUUUUCUUUCUAUGUUUUUCUUUCUCUUUCAUGUGGAGACACCACAGAAUUCAGUUUAAGUUACAUUCUGAUCUCCGUUCAUAUAAUGUGAACACACGGAACCCUUUUAGUGUCUCAUCAGAAGGCUGGGUCUUAUUGUUCCUUUUUGUACAUAUGUUCCAGUUUAGAUGUAUAUUACUUGAACAUGAGUAUUUUAUGAAGACAGACACAAUUUCAUCAUCAUUUGUACAUGACCUGUACAAUUUACAUCCAUUUAUCUACAGGAAUACCUUGGCUGAUACCUUACGAAUUUCUAUGAAGAUUACUUGGCUCUUAAUGGUUUUAUCACAUUAGUGUUACAUGGGAAUAUGUAGCACUCUGUGUAAAUGCACCACCUCUCACUCUCUACUAAUUAUUAUUUCAGGCCUUGAAGUCAUACAGUUUUUCUUGAAUUAUAUUCUACUUGACUUCGAUGUUCUGUCUCCCAGCUUGAUAUCUUAAGCACAUUUUAGUCAAUUUCUGUAUCUAUGUCUUUAUUAUUUACAAGAAUGAAUGUUUUUGUUUUCAUAACCUGCACACAUAGCUGAAUUCUCAAGGCAAACCUCAGUUUGUUCACCCAGAAACUCAGACCAUCACUUCCACUGUCAUAAUGUGACAGCAGUGAGUGUCAGGGAGGUGUUCCCUACCAGCAUUAAUAGCUCUAUGCUUGAACAUGUGGUAGAGGUGAGGGAAGUACCAGCAAGUCACUAAAGAUUAUUUUCCUCCAGGGCGGUACUUUGGCACACUGAUGGAAGACCACACUUAUGAGGAGAAAAUGUUGGCAGUGCACAACAGGUGAUGAAACCUUGGCUGGAAGCUUCUUCAUACUGACACUAACAGAGUGAGUUACCAUGGAGGGCACAGUAAAUUUAAUAACCUUUAUAACAUGCAGCAAGGAUGUGGUGCACAGCACUGUCACCUGUGAAGCUCUGAAGGUAACUGAGAAUAUAUAUAUUUUUUUACCUUUCCAAUAAAACAUUGAGGCCCUGAACUGUCAGGAGAAGGGCAAUGGAGCUGUGAAGGGUCUGGAGCACAAGUCUCAUGAGAAGCUGCUGAGGGAGCUGAGGUUGUUCAGUAUGAAGAAGAGGAGCUCAGGGGAGACCUCAUCACUCUCUACAGUGACCUGAAAGGAGGAUGCGGUGAGGUGGGGGUUGGCCUCUUUUCCCAGGUAACAGUGAUAGAGCCAGAGGUAAUGACAUCAAGUUGAGCCAGAGGAGGUUCAGGUUGGAUAUUAGGAAAAACGUUCUUAUCAGCAAGAGCGGUGCUGCAGUGGCACAGGCUGCCCAGGGAGGUGGUGCAGUCACCAUCACUGGAGGUGUUGAAGAACAGUGUGGAUGUGGCACUGAGGGACGUGGUCAGUGGGCAUGGUGAGGUUGACGGACUGAUGGUUGGGGUAGUUGAUCUUCGUGGUCUUUUCCAACCUCAAUGAUUCUAUGACUCUGUGACAGAAUCCUGAAGAAUUAUAGCUGCGUGCAGUCCUCCCACGGCACGGCCAUGAAAACACGAGGACAAACUUCUGGAAACGGUCAGGCGCUGUUACUCCGGGCAAGGCAAAAUAAGAGUCUCGUGAGUGCCGAUGGCUGCUCUUUCCUUGGCUCUGGAGACCAGAAGCGCGGUGAUCCCCGCUCCGCCCGCCCGAUUCCGCCGCCAGGUGGCGCCGUAGCGCUGCCGGAAGCGG